Molecule: unclassified non-coding RNA, 1736 nt
Filed under: Leishmania donovani
Lineage: Eukaryota; Euglenozoa; Kinetoplastea; Trypanosomatida; Trypanosomatidae
Description: gene:LdHU3.18.0730(CDS-product:peroxisomal_enoyl-coa_hydratase_putative)
Source: RNAcentral
GGAGUCCAAAGCCGCGGAAUAUGAAGAGGUGCUGCCGGCUGCUUUCUGCGGUAGAGGCAGCGUCGCUCAUACGCCGCGUUGGUCCCUUUGCAGUGCACCGUGGUGAGACCAAGGGCGUCAUUGAAAUUCUCUCCGGCGACCCCAAUCACCCUGUGAAGAAGCUCAACCUUCUUGGCCUCGCCUAUGCAGCCGCUCUCACAGAGCUUUCAGAGCUACUCUCUGAGGAGCUCAACGCUGAAGCCCGUGUCGCCAUCUUCGCAGCACGUGACGGGUGCUCGUUUUCGGCUGGCAUCGACUUGAAGGAACUCUCGGGAAUGCGGCCGCCUUCUGGCAGUGGAGCCGCUGCCACUGCAGCAGCGUCGAGCGGCUCCAAAGCCCAUGCAAUGCUUCUUCAGAACCAGCACCGUGUGGUGCGCGCUUUCCAAGAUGGAAUAUCUUCGCUGGCGCGGUGCCGCAUUCCCAUCAUCGCCGCGAUCGAUGGCCAUUGCAUCGGUGGGGCUACAUCGGUCGCUUCUUCAUGCGACGUGCGUUACACCACAGCACGUGCAACCUUUUCUGUGAAGGAGGCAGCAGUGGGUCUCGCCGCGGACAUUGGCGUGCUGCAGCGUCUUCCCGCCAUUAUUGGUGAGGGACGCACGCGCGAGCUUGCCUUUACGUGCCGCGACUUCAGCGGUGUGGAGGCCAAAGCAAUGGGCUUUGUCGAGGAAGUGUGUACAGAUUAUCCAGCGCUCCUCACCCACGCGCGCAAGCGCGCAGCACAGAUAGCUGCCAACUCGCCACUGGGAGUGCAGAACACAAAGUUGGUCCUGAAUUGGGAACGGGAGCGCGCGGCCCAGACGUCGCUCGAGUACCAAGCUGCCAUCAACGCCUUUAGUCUGCACUGCAACGACAUCCCAGAGGCAGCGCGUGCGUUUGCUGAGAAGCGAGCGCCCGUAUUCACUGAUUACAUGGUGAAUCCCAGAGGAGGCCUGCCGCAUUCAAGGCAAUCGUGACUGUAAUGGCCGUAAGCAGUCCUCCUUGCGAGGGGGGUUUCCGCGUGUAUGCGUGCCCCUGUUUCUUCUCCCACACACACGCGAGCGAACAGGAGGUUUUCUUCCAUGCCUCCUCUCCUCUCUCCCCUCCAUGCGACUUUUAUCGCGCCUUUCAUGUUUAUCUAUGUGUGUAUUGUAGCAGAGUCUUACCCUGCUCGAAUUCCGGUUUCCGUUCUUUGGUGUGGAUGCUAGCGUUUCUUUUUUUUGUUUUGUUUUCGUUUUGUUGUGUUUGCUUGCUUGUCUGCCUUACUGUGUUGCUGUUUAUGGUUUCGCAUUGUGUGUGUGCGUCACUCCUCUGUGGUGAGCUCCUCUCAUAACUUCUGCCGCCCCACCAGUUUACUCUCCGGCGGCACAGCAGCUGAUGGGGUUCAGCGUCUUAUUUCUUGCGCUCCCUUUCUCUUGGGCCCCUCACAUCCUCUCCGAACGAAGUGGCACGCGAGAAUGCGUCCCUCUGACUGCCAGAUGUCGGGCCUACUACCCAAAGCAGCAGAAAAAAAAGCAAAGAAAAACAGAAUCAUCGCUAGAACCGGAUCCUUACACCGACAAGUGAUCACGAUGCAACGGAGGAGAGGGAGAGUACGGAAUCGAGUGAAAGUCCUGUGUGGUCUCGUGCUCCCUCCCUAGUUCUCCCAACCCAGAAAUAUUGUGCGCCGAAGAAGCAUUUAAGCAUUACCCUGUAUUAUUGUUUACCCCGCACCGCUAUAU